This 253-nucleotide ribosomal RNA is filed under the name uncultured bacterium. RNAcentral's name for it is "partial 16S ribosomal RNA". It matches the Rfam family "Bacterial small subunit ribosomal RNA", at positions 524 to 776 of the family's 1533-position model. The record is from RNAcentral.
UACGGAGGGUGCGAGCGUUGUCCGGAAUCACUGGGCGUAAAGGGCGCGUAGGCGGCCUGAUAAGUAGGGGGUGAAAUCCUGCGGCUUAACCGCAGGGCUGCCUUCUAAACUGUCAGGCUGGAGCACAGUAGAGGCAGGUGGAAUUCCCGGUGUAGCGGUGGAAUGCGUAGAGAUCGGGAAGAACAUCAGUGGCGAAGGCGGCCUGCUGGGCUGUUCUUGACGCUGAGGCGCGAAAGCCAGGGGAGCGAACGGG